UAGUAUAAGUAAGAAUUGUUUUUUCCAGGAAUAAAUAGAAGUUGAGAUAUAAGAAGGAAUUAGACCAAUUUUAUAUUUAGAUAAAAAUUGGGUUGUUUCUGGGAAUAAGAUAAUUAGUAUUUGGAUGGGUAGAUUGGAAUAGAGAGAAUAAGAGUUAUAAUUAUAAAUUAAAAAUAUUUUAUCUAAUUAAUUAACGGCAAUUAGAAAUAAUUCAAUAAAUUAAUAAAUUUAUUAGCAAUGAAUAUAAUAAUAAAUUAAGAAAUUAAUAAAUAUAAAUAUUAGCUAAUUAAUUAGUUAAUUAAUACAUUAAUUAAUCAAUUAAUUAAUUAUACAAAUAACUUAACUUUUUAAUUAGUUAGCAAAUUAUUUCAGUUAGAUAAUUAGUUCAAAAUUAAAUAGAUUAGUUAAAAUAUUAAUGGUUGAUCAAUAUAAAUAUUAGUUAUCGAAUAAAUUGAUUAAAAUAUUAAUUUUUAAUCAGUUAAUUAAUUAUAAAUAAUAAAUUAAUUAAUUGUUUUAUUAUUUAAGUAAUAGGUAAUGACUUAAAUACAUUAAUUAGAUUAAAUUAAUAAUUCAAUACCAUAAUUAAAAUUAAAUUAGACUUUAAUUAACA
This 610-nucleotide long non-coding RNA is filed under the name Ananas comosus (pineapple). RNAcentral's name for it is "long non-coding RNA (ACOM_LNC012491)". Lineage: Eukaryota; Viridiplantae; Streptophyta; Magnoliopsida; Poales; Bromeliaceae. The record is from RNAcentral.